CACUAUGCUUAGCCUUAAACAUUGAUCAUUUACUACAUCAAAUAUCCGCCUGGGAAUUACGAACAUUAGUUUAAAACCCAAAGGACUUGGCGGUGCUUAACAUCCACCUAGAGGAGCCUGUUCUAGAACCGAUAAUCCCCGUUUAACCUCACCCCCCCUAGCUUUUCCCGCCUAUAUACCACCGUCGCCAGCUUACCCUGUGAAGGACUAAUAGUAAGCACAAUCGGCACAGCCCAGAACGUCAGGUCGAGGUGUAGUGAAUGGGAGGGGAAGAAAUGGGCUACAUUCGCUGUCCACCAGCGAACACGAAUGCUACAUUGAAAUAUGCAGCUGAAGGAGGAUUUAGCAGUAAGCAGAAAGCAGAGUGUUCCGCUGAAGCCGGCUCUUAAGCGCGCACACACCGCCCGUCACCCUCCCCAAGCAACUGGACCUAAAAAUUUUCUUUAAACCCUAACAACCGCGAAGGAGAGGAAAGUCGUAA
This 481-nucleotide ribosomal RNA is filed under the name Caranx tille (tille trevally). RNAcentral's name for it is "partial small subunit ribosomal RNA". It matches the Rfam family "Bacterial small subunit ribosomal RNA", at positions 788 to 1491 of the family's 1533-position model. The record is from RNAcentral. Lineage: Eukaryota; Metazoa; Chordata; Actinopteri; Carangiformes; Carangidae.